This 873-nucleotide ribosomal RNA is filed under the name Triticum aestivum (bread wheat). RNAcentral's name for it is "partial small subunit ribosomal RNA". The record is from RNAcentral. Lineage: Eukaryota; Viridiplantae; Streptophyta; Magnoliopsida; Poales; Poaceae.
AUGGGCGGUUGGCUUUUCAUGGAUGGAGGAGAUUCAGGACAAAACCAUAUGAUUUACAACUGGAAUACUGGAUCAAGGGUAAAUUUCUCCAGAAAAAUCGUCAUGGUCAACGAUGAGGGAGAAAAAAUCGAUGAAUAUGGUACUAGCCUUUCUGUGUGUGCUGCUUCAGGAAUGCCUUCGAGUCCAGGAUGCAAGGUUUUAGGGAUUAUCAGAAUAUCCGAGUAUUUUGGGGCUGUUGUUGCUUUGUGGGAUGAAGAGGAGGACAAAUGGAUUGAAAAGUCAUAUGUAAUGGAUCAUUGGACAGAGGAGGGCUUUGGGCCAAGGAUGGAUUAUAAUGUACUCGAUAUGAUAUUCCAUAAUGAUGCCUUCCACCUUCUUACGGAAGAGGAGGACAUCAUCAGAGUGCUUCCAUAUGCUCAAGGGGUGCAGAAGUUGCAUGUGUGGCGACGUAUGGACAGAGAAGUUGAUGAGAUGUUUGAAGAUAACCUUCAUGGCACCACAAUCAAGUACCUUGUCGAAUCGACAGGAGGUUAUCUUGUUAUGUGCAUCAAGUACGUCCGCCGUGGCAGAACAGAGUCGAUUAACAUGUACAGGUUAUCAGUUCCUGAGAAGAGGUGGCAUAACUACAGAUCGCCUGAGGGUGAAGUGAUCUUCCUUGGAAGCGGCUGUUCGAAGGCAUACCUCACGGAAGGCAUCCAUUCAGAAGUGCAUUUCCUGGAUGAUACAGAGAAGCACAUCAAGUCAAAGGGCAUCAAACUCUACACUCGGGAAGACAUGGGGGGCUUCCGCAACAACCAACGGUCCUACAGGGCACCAGCAGAGCUACUAGGUUCGACUUCUACCCUGUCCCGGCCCGUAUGGUUCCAUCAUUAG